UGCCCAAGGUCACACAGAGCCCUGACUCUGCCCUGGUCAGACCUCUCUGGAGGCCUCUCCCUAGCAUGGGGCUGGUUGCAUGGGGUCUGACGCCAGAGGGCACAGCUGUGCUGAGCCAGCCCUGUUGGGUGCCCCCCAGAUGGUGGUGAGGCCUCAGCCCCCUGGCCCCCUGCCCAUCUGGCCCUGGAGAGAGCGAGAGCCAGGAGCUCUGAAUGCACCAGGGCCCCAAGGGAGCAGAGGAAGCACCUACCCCACACAGUGCUCAGCA
Molecule: long non-coding RNA, 268 nt
Organism: Acinonyx jubatus (cheetah)
Lineage: Eukaryota; Metazoa; Chordata; Mammalia; Carnivora; Felidae
Exons: 2
Source: RefSeq, a predicted model, not a curated record